GACGAACGCUGGCGGCGUGCCUAAUACAUGCAAGUCGAACGAACUCUGGUAUUGAUUGGUGCUUGCAUCAUGAUUUACAUUUGAGUGAGUGGCGAACUGGUGAGUAACACGUGGGAAACCUGCCCAGAAGCGGGGGAUAACACCUGGAAACAGAUGCUAAUACCGCAUAACAACUUGGACCGCAUGGUCCGAGCUUGAAAGAUGGCUUCGGCUAUCACUUUUGGAUGGUCCCGCGGCGUAUUAGCUAGAUGGUGGGGUAACGGCUCACCAUGGCAAUGAUACGUAGCCGACCUGAGAGGGUAAUCGGCCACAUUGGGACUGAGACACGGCCCAAACUCCUACGGGAGGCAGCAGUAGGGAAUCUUCCACAAUGGACGAAAGUCUGAUGGAGCGACGCCGCGUGAGUGAAGAAGGGUUUCGGCUCGUAAAACUCUGUUGUUAAAGAAGAACAUAUCUGAGAGUAACUGUUCAGGUAUUGACGGUAUUUAACCAGAAAGCCACGGCUAACUACGUGCCAGCAGCCGCGGUAAUACGUAGGUGGCAAGCGUUGUCCGGAUUUAUUGGGCGUAAAGCGAGCGCAGGCGGUUUUUUAAGUCUGAUGUGAAAGCCUUCGGCUCAACCGAAGAAGUGCAUCGGAAACUGGGAAACUUGAGUGCAGAAGAGGACAGUGGAACUCCAUGUGUAGCGGUGAAAUGCGUAGAUAUAUGGAAGAACACCAGUGGCGAAGGCGGCUGUCUGGUCUGUAACUGACGCUGAGGCUCGAAAGUAUGGGUAGCAAACAGGAUUAGAUACCCUGGUAGUCCAUACCGUAAACGAUGAAUGCUAAGUGUUGGAGGGUUUCCGCCCUUCAGUGCUGCAGCUAACGCAUUAAGCAUUCCGCCUGGGGAGUACGGCCGCAAGGCUGAAACUCAAAGGAAUUGACGGGGGCCCGCACAAGCGGUGGAGCAUGUGGUUUAAUUCGAAGCUACGCGAAGAACCUUACCAGGUCUUGACAUACUAUGCAAAUCUAAGAGAUUAGACGUUCCCUUCGGGGACAUGGAUACAGGUGGUGCAUGGUUGUCGUCAGCUCGUGUCGUGAGAUGUUGGGUUAAGUCCCGCAACGAGCGCAACCCUUAUUAUCAGUUGCCAGCAUUAAGUUGGGCACUCUGGUGAGACUGCCGGUGACAAACCGGAGGAAGGCGGGGAUGACGUCAAAUCAUCAUGCCCCUUAUGACCUGGGCUACACACGUGCUACAAUGGAUGGUACAACGAGUUGCGAACUCGCGAGAGUAAGCUAAUCUCUUAAAGCCAUUCUCAGUUCGGAUUGUAGGCUGCAACUCGCCUACAUGAAGUCGGAAUCGCUAGUAAUCGCGGAUCAGCAUGCCGCGGUGAAUACGUUCCCGGGCCUUGUACACACCGCCCGUCACACCAUGAGAGUUUGUAACACCCAAAGUCGGUGGGGUAACCUUUUAGGAACCAGCCGCCUAAGGUGGGACAGAUGAUUAGGGUG
RNAcentral lists this ribosomal RNA (1489 nucleotides) under Lactiplantibacillus argentoratensis. RNAcentral's name for it is "bacterial SSU rRNA". It matches the Rfam family "Bacterial small subunit ribosomal RNA". Lineage: Bacteria; Bacillati; Bacillota; Bacilli; Lactobacillales; Lactobacillaceae. The record is from RNAcentral.